This 292-nucleotide ribosomal RNA is filed under the name uncultured bacterium. Its description in RNAcentral is "partial 16S ribosomal RNA". The record is from RNAcentral.
GGACUACAGGGGUUUCUAAUCCUGUUUGCUCCCCUAGCCUUCGCGCCUGAGCGUCAGGAGCAGACCAGAAAGCUGCUUUCGCCAUUGGUGUUCCUCCCGAUAUCUACGCAUUUCACCACUACACCGGGAAUUCCACUUUCCUCUUCUGCCCUCAAGUCUGGCAGUAUCAAUUGACCCCUCCCAGUUAAGCCGGGAGAUUUCACAACUGACUGACCAGACCGCCUGCGCGCCCUUUACGCCCAAUAAUUCCGGACAACGCUUGCAUCCUACGUAUUACCGCGGCUGCUGGCAC